UGCGUAGGUGGUUUCUUAAGUCAGAGGUGAAAGGCUACGGCUCAACCGUAGUAAGCCUUUGAAACUGGGAAACUUGAGUGCAGGAGAGGAGAGUGGAAUUCCUAGUGUAGCGGUGAAAUGCGUAGAUAUUAGGAGGAACACCAGUGGCGAAGGCGGCUUGCUGGGCUUUUACUGACGCUGAGGCUCGAAAGCGUGGGGAGCAAACA
This 206-nucleotide ribosomal RNA is filed under the name uncultured bacterium. RNAcentral describes it as "partial 16S ribosomal RNA". It matches the Rfam family "Bacterial small subunit ribosomal RNA", at positions 568 to 774 of the family's 1533-position model. The record is from RNAcentral.